Ictalurus punctatus (channel catfish) is the source of this 1069-nucleotide long non-coding RNA. Lineage: Eukaryota; Metazoa; Chordata; Actinopteri; Siluriformes; Ictaluridae. The record is from Ensembl.
CUUAAAACAAUUUGGGACCACCCCAGCAUCCAAAGAUGAAUUCAUCAACACCUGGAUACUGGGGCCAAUUUCAGAAAAGGUUGCUUUCAUAAGCACAGCGGGAACAUCAAGUGGCGUGGAUGAUAUUUUCAUCUGGUUAAUCAGAUCACACAGUUCCUUUAGAGAAACGUGUUCAAAUUGAUCAAAGGAAAUCGGUAUAGUCAGCGAAUUCAGGGACAGGUCUGAGAACUGCGAAGUGAAGGAAGAACGAAUGGUAAUUACUUUAUCAGCAAAAAACUUUAAAAACUUCUCACAAAGUUCAGCCGAGGGUUCCCCAUGGAAUUGGCAACUCGGAUUAAUAAUUGAAUUUAUCAUGGUGAAUAAGAUCUUAGGUCUGCAGCACUCAAGAUAGAUGUUUCAACAGCAUUAGCUCGAUAACUUUCACUACUGAGAGGCAGUGAGUGAAUUAAUAACACGGGAGUAAUAUCCUGAAGGCCUCGUCACAACGGCAGAGUGGGCAGCAGGGACAUUAAAAACAAUGGGCUUGUGAUCAGAGAAGGAAGCAUCUUCAAUAUUAACAUCACCAACAGUGGUUCCAUAUGACAAUAUGAGGUCUAGUGUAUGACCAAGGACAUGUUGCCUGAUUCAUAUGUUGAAUAAGACCAAAGGAAUCCAAGAUAUUACAAAAUUCAGUAACCAAGGGUCGACCAGGGCAGCAGACAUGCACAUUAAAAUCACCCGAUAAUAACAAAUGAUCAUACAACGGAACAAUAGAAGUUAAAAAAAAUCACAAAAUCACUUAAAAAGGCAUUGUCCGGGUUAGGUGGCCUAUAGAUCAAAGCACAGAAUAGCGUGGAAGAGUUUGACUCCAACGCAACACACUGUACCUCAAACGACGAGUAACUCCCAACAGAAACUGUCCGAAUGUUCAGUGACUGUUUAAAAACCAUAGCAACCCCACCGCCCUUACCAGAAGGCCUUGGAGUACUAAUAAAACAACAGUUCGGUGGACAGAGUUCCUCGAAGACGGUUGACUCACCAGGACUGACCCAGGUCUCCGUCAGGAAUAAAAUAUCCAGGUUAUGUCUGG